This 392-nucleotide long non-coding RNA is filed under the name Mytilus galloprovincialis (Mediterranean mussel). The record is from RNAcentral. Lineage: Eukaryota; Metazoa; Mollusca; Bivalvia; Mytilida; Mytilidae.
CAAAAAUGUGUAUUGUACUUUUUUGUUCUACUCGUAUUAAAUUUUCUUCACUUUCAACAAAUGUUCAACAGUUUGCAAAAUAAUAGAUAAAGCAUGCAUUUUACCCCCUAUGUUCUAUUUUUAGCCUUCAUCGCCAUGUUUGUUUGUGACAGGAUCAUACAACACAUAUUUUGUUGUGAAGGUUCAUGUUCAGUCUGCCAUGGAAUUGUAUGUACAUGCAUGAACAAAUGAUUAUUACAGUUUACAUUCAAGUACUGUAUGUUGUGAAGGUUCAUGUUCAGUCUGCCAUGGAAUUGUAUGUACAUGCAUGAACAGUUGAUUAUUACAGUUUACAUUCAAGUAUUGUAUGUUGUGGAACGAUUAUUGUUUUCAUGAAUAAAUUUAUCAAACCA